GCAAGUUUUAAAGAUGAGAUUUAAUGGUGAAAAGAGGUUCUCGUUAAUAUUUCUCACCACGCACACCACAAAUUCUGUGGCUGGCCCAGGUACUGUAAAUGUUACAAUCUUCAUAUGUUCAAGCUCAAAAGUCUUAGGACAAGCAAUCAGGCAAAAAAAAUCCAAAGUAGAAAUGAUUUAUUCCAGUAUAAGAAUACUUUACAGUACAGAAAGCCCCUCAUACAUGUGUCUGGACCACCACCAACUAAUAUUUUGCACUUAAGUAAAAAUUUAGUUUAUUGGCACUUCCAGAUAGUAGAACUACACUAAUAAGUCAAUACCGAUACUUUAGUUACUGACAAUAGGUACACAGAAAUAACAGUCUUUGCAUUGUGGUAUGUGAAACAUUAAGAUAAGUGGAUAACCAGUGUAUUUUUUUUCCAUGUGACCUUCCCUUAGCAAUCAUACAACAGUUAAAUUAGAUCAUGACCCAUUUGCUGACUUACUUAGUAUAUCAUGGUGGGUGUAGUAUCGCACUGCAUUUGGCUUGUAGGUAAGCACAGGGUUGUACUCAGAAGGUACUGCUGAUGAUAGUCUGGAAUUUAUAUAUACAUCCAGAUAUUUUUGUGCCAUUAUAUUAUUGCUGAGAUCUCACAGAACUCUCUUGAAGUAAUUCACUGCAAAUUAAGAAAUGUGUAUUUUCAUUUUCGGGAUUGGCAUAAGCAGAGAAUAGUUCAGUGCCAAAGUAACAGCACACUUCCUGUGCAUGCAGAUAUCUGGUGUUGUCACUUGCAGUUAUGUCAUAAUAAAAUAAACUAUCACAGUCCAUGUGAAGUCUCAAAGCCCAUGUACAGUAAGCAGCAUAGUAACACAUGAAGUACAUUUUAUUACUGAAACGUUUAACAUUUUAACAUACGACCAAUGGAAAAUAUUUUGCUGGCUAUAGUUAACGAUUAUGUUUAUAUACGUAUUGCACUGAGUGUCCUUUUAAAGAAAAGCUACACUCUGCAGCACUGUACAAUUGGGGAACAAUACUGUACAAUAUACAUAUAUCAAUACAAAAGGUAAAAAGGGCCUUGUCCUUGAGAUGAGUUCCAGCUACUGAAACUCUUUUAUAAUAAGUAAUUAAUAGUCUGUGCACUUACGGUUUGGAGGUUAAAAUGAGGAGUUGAGACAAGAGGUAGCAAGGUUAAUUUGGAGAAAAUGAAAUGGUAAUUGCAGCCUCUGGUAACACGUAAUGGGAAUGAGGAGUUAAUUGAGUGGGAUUUUAAGCAGCUGGAGACGUUUGCUAUAAAAUGCCAGGGUGGGCAGGAGGAAGGAUGGGUGAGUAGUGUUUCAAGGGAUAAUAUAGUCACCAGAACCAUUACAACUUAAUGUAGUAAUCUUGCGCUAUAGAAUGUCCCUGCAGCCUUAGCACUGUAAACACUGCCUUUUCGGAGAAAAAGCAGUCUUUACAUUGCUCCCUAGUAACACCUCUAGUGGCAGUCACUCAGACGGCCACUAGAGGUGCUUCCUUUGUCAGUGCCGCAGGGUGCACCAUUAGCGGUCAGCGUCUCCGCGCUCUGCAUGGAUGCAUUGAAUGCUUCCCAAGCGCUGCGUUGAUUCAAGCAAUCUCUAUGAGAUGCUGAUAGAUGCAGCACAGCGUUUUGCUGUAUAUGCGCAAUAGCCUCCCAAAGAUUUACUAUGGAAAAGUAUUGGAUUGGCUGAUAUUAUAAAGAUUGAUAAUUUGUGCCACUGAGCAAGGAUGAGUCACAGCAAGACCAGUGCAGCGUGAGAAUAAAGAUGCAUAAACUCACAUUUUCACUGGACAGAUGGGGGGGCCCGAGGCCUAAACAGCCACACCAGCAAUAUAGGGUCAGGAAUAAUGUUUGUAUUGUUUCUUUAAAGGAAAUUAAAUGCUGUGUCUUGAAGCCUUGAAGUCGCAGUGUUAGUUGGAAAAUUACUACUUCAGAUUGAAGUAGUUAUGUGUCAAUGUACUGAUCCUGCAGUCUUUCCAAAAAAAAAAAAAAAAAGUCAACCUUACAGAAUAAGGCCUUGUGAAGAGACCAAUCUCACCACUGUGCAUUGGAGGAGCCUGGUUGCCCGCCUGCUGCCUUUAGACUAUGGCCCCAUGUUGAAACGCUUGAUUUUCCCCUGCACAGACAUGAAAGCCGGUUCAUUCGGUGACAGCUGGUCUCUGCCCACCUUGCAACCCACCAAUUCAGCAUACCAGUCCCCCACACAGCUUUGGUGAGGCACCUGGACAUGGACAACUUUUCCCCGUACUCAGGUGUAGUAACCAUUUAUUGUGGGUGGGCUGUACUACUAAUUGUGUUUUAUGGGUGGGUUGCUGGACUAACUAGGGCACUGACCGGCAGGAGGUCAGAUACCCUGUUAGUCUGUUUGGAAAAGGGGAGAGAUGUGACAAGACCAAUCUCGCCACUGUGCAUUGGAGGAGCCUGGUUGCCCACCUGCUGCCUUUAGACUAUGGCCCUAUGUUGAAAUGCUUAAUUUUCCCCUGCAAAGACACGAAAGCCGGGUCAUUCGGUGCUUGCCCUGUUUGAGCGGUGAUACCCCAGAUAGCUAUGCCAUGGAGCCCAUUCGUAUAAUGAAAUACUAUGGGAAAGACUUUGGCUCCAUGGCAAUUGAACUGUAUGUGUGUGAUCUGAAUGCCAUUCAGUAAUAAUGUGCGCUCAGAUCUGAGCUAUCUGGGGAUAUGUUGAAUGUACCUGUUUUAUGCAAUGGCUGCACAGUUAUAUAUUUUUAUGUAUUUUAUUGUCUUUUGCUGCCAUGUGUUCAAUGGAGUUUUGCCUCUCUCCUUGGAGAUAAUUGGAUUACUUCCCAAUUAUCUCCAUGAUAGAAGACUCUGUGGAACUGGUUUUGGGCAGAAAAGCCAUGCUUCAUUUGGUCACAAAGGACUUUGAUCUAUCUUUUGAACCACUGGACCAAUUUGGAUGAUUUUGACAUAUGUUUGUAUUUGGAGUAUGCUGAUUCUGAAAAUGUAAGUUUAUGUGAAUGUG
This is a non-coding RNA of Pelobates cultripes (western spadefoot toad), 2978 nucleotides long. The record is from the annotation of a GenBank genome assembly. NCBI's taxonomy places the organism in Eukaryota, Metazoa, Chordata, Amphibia, Anura, Pelobatidae.